Molecule: long non-coding RNA, 1782 nt
Filed under: Brassica napus (rape)
Lineage: Eukaryota; Viridiplantae; Streptophyta; Magnoliopsida; Brassicales; Brassicaceae
Description: long non-coding RNA (BNAP_LNC017703)
Source: RNAcentral
GCUGGAUGAGAGAGCGCCGAUGUCGCCGUGAAGCGCGUCGAGAGGGGAGAGGAAAGAGGAACGGAAGCUGAGGGAGAUGAGGGUCUGGCAGAUUUUGUUGGCGACGAAGGCGGAUUUGCCGACGCCGGUGAAGAAGACGGUGCCGGAGGUGGAGAGGAGGAUGCGGGAGAAGUCUAGGGUUUGGGAGAGGUCAAGGUGUUUGAAGAAGUGGUUGAGGAGAUCUUGUUGGGAUUUGAAGAAGGCGAGGAGGUUGUCUUUGGAGAUUUCUUGGUGGUGAUGUUCGUUGCCCUGAUUAGCGGAGGAGAAGUCGAGAUACGGCGGUGGCAGAGAUCCCAUUGUUGAUCUGAGAAGGUGAGAUCUCUGUUAGAUUGAUCAAUCAUCUGGGAGAGAUCUUUUGCUUUGAAGAGAGAUCUUUAUAAAGCAGAGAAGAGGUGCAUUAAUGGAGACGGAGGGGCAAAACGGUAAAUUAAUGACUCCUUGAAUCUUUUCGUGGUGAUGAGUGAGGGUUUUGAGGGGCGUCGGUGAUUAGAUUUUUUUCCUCCGGUGAAAAUAGAAUUUUAUCAUCGUGGAUAGAAAGAACUACAAGUAAAAACAUUGGCUGCAACUCGAAUCCAUUUUUUUUAAAUUAAAACUUCAUGAAUACUUAAUUCAUAUUCAUGUGCAUUUCAAAAAAAGUUCAUCAGUUACAAUUAAAAUAUGAAAUGUAAAUUCCAUUUCAUUCCAUAACAUUUCAUAUUAUUCCAGAAAAAAAAAUAAUUAUCAUUUGAAAAAUCAUUCCAAAUCAAAAACGUUUUGGAAUAAAUGGAAUGCUGAUUCCAUUCCAUUAAAUUCCAGAAAUAAUAAUUCCUAUCAUUCCAUAUAUUCUUUUUAUUUGUCACCAGUUACACCCAUUAUUAAUCGGUCCCUUAUUAGAGGUAAAAGUAGCAUUUUACAAUAUUAUUAGUUAUUUUUUGCUGAGAACAAAAAUAUGAUUAGUCAUUAAUAAUCAAAUGAAAUGAUGCAAUUUUUUCUUAUGUGGUAUGAUGAUGUCGAUUAUCUGUUUACUAUUUUUGCUUAAGUCCACCGCAAUCGUAUCCCCAAACACCAUCUGGAUCGCCGUAGACGUCACCGGAGCGAGAUUAAACGGACACAACUCCCUCUGUAACGGCAAAUGCACAUUCAUAUCGCAAACUCCAGCGAGCGGAUUCCCAGGAACGGAGGUAAGAGAUACCAAGAAGGCUCCCCUAGCCUUAGCGCAGGGGACGAGACGGAGAAGCUCCUCGGUGUAGCCGGAUUUGCUGAAGAGGACGAGAACGUCGCUGGAUGAGAGAGCGCCGAUGUCGCCGUGAAGCGCGUCGAGAGGGGAGAGGAAAGAGGAACGGAAGCUGAGGGAGAUGAGGGUCUGGCAGAUUUUGUUGGCGACGAAGGCGGAUUUGCCGACGCCGGUGAAGAAGACGGUGCCGGAGGUGGAGAGGAGGAUGCGGGAGAAGUCUAGGGUUUGGGAGAGGUCAAGGUGUUUGAAGAAGUGGUUGAGGAGAUCUUGUUGGGAUUUGAAGAAGGCGAGGAGGUUGUCUUUGGAGAUUUCUUGGUGGUGAUGUUCGUUGCCCUGAUUAGCGGAGGAGAAGUCGAGAUACGGCGGUGGCAGAGAUCCCAUUGUUGAUCUGAGAAGGUGAGAUCUCUGUUAGAUUGAUCAAUCAUCUGGGAGAGAUCUUUUGCUUUGAAGAGAGAUCUUUAUAAAGCAGAGAAGAGGUGCAUUAAUGGAGACGGAGGGGCAAAACGGUAAAUUAAUGACUCCUUGAAUCU